Mycena rebaudengoi is the source of this 95-nucleotide non-coding RNA. The record is from the annotation of a GenBank genome assembly. Lineage: Eukaryota; Fungi; Basidiomycota; Agaricomycetes; Agaricales; Mycenaceae.
GCAUUAGUGGGGUAGUGGUAACCUGGGUCGUUGCCAUGCUGUGAGCUGAUGCCAGUCGACUCGACCCGCCGGGAGUUCGAUUCUCUCCUAAUGCA